This 487-nucleotide ribosomal RNA is filed under the name uncultured bacterium. RNAcentral's name for it is "bacterial SSU rRNA". It matches the Rfam family "Bacterial small subunit ribosomal RNA", at positions 28 to 507 of the family's 1533-position model. The record is from RNAcentral.
GAUGAACGCUAGCUACAGGCUUAACACAUGCAAGUCGAGGGGCAGCACAGUGUAGCAAUACAUGGGUGGCGACCGGCGCACGGGUGCGUAACGCGUAUCCAACCUUCCCGUUACUCAGGGAUAGCCUUCCGAAAGGGAGAUUAAUACCUGAUGGUAUUCAAAUUUCGCAUGUUAUUUGAAUUAAAGAUUUAUCGGUAACGGAUGGGGAUGCGUGACAUUAGGUAGAUGGCGGGGUAACGGCCCACCAUGCCUACGAUGUCUAGGGGUUCUGAGAGGAAGGUCCCCCCACACUGGAACUGAGACACGGUCCAGACUCCUACGGGAGGCAGCAGUGAGGAAUAUUGGUCAAUGGUCGGAAGACUGAACCAGCCAAGUAGCGUGAAGGAAGACUGCCCUAUGGGUUGUAAACUUCUUUUGUUCGGGAAUAAAGUGCAGUAUGUAUACUGUUUUGUAUGUACCGUUCGAAUAAGCAUCGGCUAAUUCCGUG